CACCUCUCAGGAUCGCAUCUAGAGAGUUUCCAGUCCUCUACAAGUCUCAACUAUGGGAGGGAGAGUCAAAUAGAGGCAUAUCCAUUCCAUUCCUAGCUUGGACAGUGGCUAGCCAGUGGAAGGCAAUCUGCUACAAGU
Ornithorhynchus anatinus (platypus) is the source of this 138-nucleotide non-coding RNA. The record is from Rfam. NCBI's taxonomy places the organism in Eukaryota, Metazoa, Chordata, Mammalia, Monotremata, Ornithorhynchidae.